This 253-nucleotide ribosomal RNA is filed under the name uncultured Ruminococcus sp. Its description in RNAcentral is "partial 16S ribosomal RNA". It matches the Rfam family "Bacterial small subunit ribosomal RNA", at positions 524 to 776 of the family's 1533-position model. Lineage: Bacteria; Bacillati; Bacillota; Clostridia; Eubacteriales; Oscillospiraceae. The record is from RNAcentral.
UACGGAGGGAGCAAGCGUUGUCCGGAUUUACUGGGUGUAAAGGGUGCGUAGGCGGCUUUGCAAGUCAGAAGUGAAAUCCAUGGGCUUAACCCAUGAACUGCUUUUGAAACUGCAGAGCUUGAGUGGAGUAGAGGUAGGCGGAAUUCCCGGUGUAGCGGUGAAAUGCGUAGAGAUCGGGAGGAACACCAGUGGCGAAGGCGGCCGCCUGGCCUGUUGCUGACGCUGAGGCACGAAAGCGUGGGGAGCAAAUAGG